RNAcentral lists this ribosomal RNA (442 nucleotides) under uncultured bacterium. Its description in RNAcentral is "bacterial SSU rRNA". It matches the Rfam family "Bacterial small subunit ribosomal RNA", at positions 338 to 795 of the family's 1533-position model. The record is from RNAcentral.
CCUACGGGGGGCAGCAGUGAGGAAUCUUCCACAAUGGGCGAAAGCCUGAUGGAGCAACGCCGCGUGCAGGAUGAAGGCCUUCGGGUUGUAAACUGCUUUUAUUAGUGAGGAAUAUGACGGUAACUAAUGAAUAAGGGUCGGCUAACUACGUGCCAGCAGCCGCGGUCAUACGUAGGACCCAAGCGUUAUCCGGAGUGACUGGGCGUAAAGAGUUGCGUAGGUGGUUUGUAAAGCGAAUAGUGAAAUCUGGGGGCUCAACCUCACAGGCUAUUAUUCGAACUCACAAACUCGAGAGUGGUAGAGGUAACUGGAAUUUCUAGUGUAGGAGUGAAAUCCGUAGAUAUUAGAAGGAACACCAAUGGCGUAGGCAGGUUACUGGACCAUUUCUGACACUGAGGCACGAAAGCGUGGGGAGCGAACCGGAUUAGAUACCCGGGUAGUC